This 331-nucleotide RNase P RNA is filed under the name human gut metagenome. Its description in RNAcentral is "Bacterial RNase P class A". It matches the Rfam family "Bacterial RNase P class A". Rfam says of the family: Ribonuclease P (RNase P) is a ubiquitous endoribonuclease, found in archaea, bacteria and eukarya as well as chloroplasts and mitochondria. The record is from RNAcentral.
AGUAAGCUAGGCAAUCGCGCAUGGCGAAAGCUGUGUGAGGAAAGUCCGAACUCCAUAGAGCAGGUUAACGGUUAACAACCGCCGAGGGUGACCUUAGGGAUAGUGCAACAGAGAUAUACCGCCUCAAUUUGAGGUAAGGGUGGAAAGGCGAGGUAAGAGCUCACCGGCAUGCGGGAGACCGCAUGGCCAUGUAAACCCUAACCGGAGCAACACCGUAUGGUAAAAAAUGUGCUUGCUCGGCACAAAAAUAGGUGGCACCGAGCUGCGGUGGUAACACCCAGCCAAGAUAGAUGAUUGCCCACGACAGAAUUCGGCUUAUCGGUUUACUCAU